GGAGUGAACGCUGGCGGUAGGCCUAGCACAUGCAAGUCGAACGGCAGCACAGUGGUAGCAAUACCAUGGGUGGCGAGUGGCGGACGGGUGAGGAAUACAUCGGAAUCUACCUUUUCGUGGGGGGAUAACGUAGGGAAACUUACGCUAAUACCGCAUACGCCCUUCGGGGGAAAGCCGGGGAUCGCAAGACCUGGCGCGGAUAGAUGAGCCGAUGUCGGAUUAGCUAGUUGGUGAGGUAAUGGCUCACCAAGGCGACGAUCCGUAGCUGGUCUGAGAGGAUGAUCAGCCACACUGGAACUGAGACCACGGUCCAGACUCCUACGGGAGCAGCAGUGGGGAAUAUUGGAACAAGUGGGCGCAAGCCUGAUCCAGCCAUACCGCGUGGGUGAAGGAAGGCCGUUUCGGGGUUAGUAAAACGUCCCG
This 423-nucleotide ribosomal RNA is filed under the name uncultured soil bacterium. RNAcentral's name for it is "bacterial SSU rRNA". It matches the Rfam family "Bacterial small subunit ribosomal RNA", at positions 27 to 435 of the family's 1533-position model. The record is from RNAcentral.